This 329-nucleotide unclassified non-coding RNA is filed under the name soil metagenome. RNAcentral's name for it is "partial contains 5.8S ribosomal RNA, internal transcribed spacer 2, and large subunit ribosomal RNA". The stretch from base 1 to 120 matches the Rfam family "5.8S ribosomal RNA", at positions 35 to 154 of the family's 154-position model. The record is from RNAcentral.
GAUGAAGAACGUAGCGAAAUGCGAUAAGUAAUGUGAAUUGCAGAAUUCAGUGAAUCAUCGAAUCUUUGAACGCACAUUGCGCCCUCUGGUAUUCCGGGGGGCAUGCCUGUUCGAGCGUCAUUAUAACCACUCAAGCUCUCGCUUGGUAUUGGGGUUCGCGGUUCCGCGGCCCCUAAAAUCAGUGGCGGUGCCUGUCGGCUCUACGCGUAGUAAUACUCCUCGCGAUUGAGUCCGGUAGGUCUACUUGCCAGCAACCCCCAAUUUUUACAGGUUGACCUCGGAUCAGGUAGGGAUACCCGCUGAACUUAAGCAUAUCAAUAAGCAGAGGA